This 165-nucleotide ribosomal RNA is filed under the name Togniniella acerosa. Its description in RNAcentral is "5.8S ribosomal RNA". It matches the Rfam family "5.8S ribosomal RNA". From Rfam's summary of the family: 5.8S ribosomal RNA (5.8S rRNA) is a component of the large subunit of the eukaryotic ribosome. It is transcribed by RNA polymerase I as part of the 45S precursor that also contains 18S and 28S rRNA. Lineage: Eukaryota; Fungi; Ascomycota; Sordariomycetes; Calosphaeriales; Calosphaeriaceae. The record is from RNAcentral.
AAAACUUUUAACAACGGAUCUCUUGGCUCUGGCAUCGAUGAAGAACGUAGCGAAAUGCGAUAAGUAAUGUGAAUUGCAGAAUCCAGCGAAUCAUCGAAUCUUUGAACGCACAUUGCGCCCGCCAGCACUCUGGCGGGCAUGCCUGUCCGAGCGUCAUUUCAACCC